RNAcentral lists this ribosomal RNA (3302 nucleotides) under Cosmarium biretum. Its description in RNAcentral is "bacterial LSU rRNA". It matches the Rfam family "Bacterial large subunit ribosomal RNA", at positions 161 to 2504 of the family's 2925-position model. Lineage: Eukaryota; Viridiplantae; Streptophyta; Zygnematophyceae; Desmidiales; Desmidiaceae. The record is from RNAcentral.
AAUAGAUAGGGAGGCAAGAGACAACCUGGCGAACUGAAACAUCUUAGUAGCCAGAGGAAAAGAAAGCAAAAGCGAUUCCCUGAGUAGUGGCGAGCGAAAUGGGAACAGCCUAAACCGUCCAUUUUUUAUGGCGGGGUUGUGGGAGAGCGACAUAAGUUACGAGUUACUAGACGAAGCAGCUGAGUCCUGCACCUUAGAUGGUGAUAGUCCAGUAGUUGAAAGUAUCUCUAGCAAACGCUAACACCCGAGUAGCAUGGGGCACGUGAAAUCCCGUGUGAAUCAGCGAGGACCACCUCGUAAGGCUAAAUACUCCUGGGUGACCGAUAGUGAAGUAGUACCGUGAGGGAAAGGUGAAAAGAACCCCCAUCGGGGAGUGAAAUAGAACAUGAAACCGUAAGCCUCCAAGCAGUGGGAGGAGAAUGGAAUCUCUGACCGCGUGCCUGUUGAAGAAUGAGCCGGCGACUUAUAGGUAGUGGCCUGGUUAAGGUUUUCCGGAGCCAUAGCGAAAGCGAGUCUUUCUAGGGCGAAUGUCACUACUUAUGGACCCGAACCCGGGUGAUCUAACCAUGGCCAGGGUGAAGCUUGGGUGAAGCCAAGUGGAGGUCCGAACCGACUGAUGUUGAAAAAUCAGCGGAUGAGCUGUGGUUAGGGGUGAAAUGCCACUCGAACUCGGAGCUAGCUGGUUCUCCCCGAAAUGCGUUGAGGCGCAGCGGUUGACUGGACUGCCUAGGGGUAAAGCACUGUUUCGGUGCGGGCUGCGAAAGCGGUACCAAAUCGAGGCAAACUCUGAAUACUAGGCAUGAAAGAGGUCAGCCAGUAAGACGGUGGGGGAUAAGCUUCAUCGUCAAGAGGGAAACAGCCCAGACCACCAGCUAAGGCCCCUAAAUGACCGCUCAGUGGCAAAGGAGGUGAGAGUGCAAAGACAGCCAGGAGGUUUGCCUAGAAGCAGCCACCCUUGAAAGAGUGCGUAAUAGCUCACUGAUCGAGCGCUCUUGCGCCGAAGAUGAACGGGACUAAGCGGUCUGCCGAAGCUGUGGGAUUCCCUCCCAUCCGGGAGGGCNUCGGUAGGGGACGUUCNGCAAACGGNAGAAGCAUCAGUGCAAACAGGUGUGGACGAAGCGGAAGUGAGAAUGUCGGCUUGAGUAACGCAAACAUUGGUGAGAAUCCAAUGCCCCGAAAACCCAAGGGUUCCUCCGCAAGGCUCGUCCACGGAGGGUGAGUCAGGGCCUAAGAUCAUGCCGAACGGCGCAGUCGAUGGACAACAGGUCAAGAUUCCUGUACUGCCCCUUGUCGGCAAUAAGAGGGACGGAGGAGGCUAAGCUAGCCGAACAAUGGUCAUCGGUUCAAGGGUCAAAAGCCUGAGUACUAGGCACCUACGGGUCCGAAGUAGCUGAUGCCACGCUCCCAAGAAAAGCUCUUACGCCAAAAAUUGUUUUGCCUCCCUAAGGACCGGAUCCUUCUCUCCCCGUAUGGGGCGUGAGGGGUGACACGCCGCAAAGCGCCUCGGUCCUACGCCGCUCCGCCCUUUAGGCCAGUGGUUCCCGCUCCCUCCUCUCUCUCGUGAGGGCGGUCCGUCAGGGCCGCCUACGUGAGGCCCCUCACGGGGUCCCCCCUAAAGGGGGGGAGGCAAGGGGGCGGGAGUCCUGACCCCGGAGGGAGACAACAAAAAGAAGACAAGUGGGCACCUGUACCCGAAACCGACACAGGUGGGUAGGUAGAGAAUACCUAGGGGCGCGAGACAACUCUCUCUAAGGAACUCGGCAAGAUGGCCCCGUAACUUCGGGAGAAGGGGUGCCCCUCUGGGCCGCAGUGACCAGGCCCAGGCGACUGUUUACCAAAAACACAGGUCUCCGCAAAGUCGAAAGACGACGUAUGGGGGCUGACGCCUGCCCAGUGCCGGAAGGUUAAGGAAGUUGGUGACUCGAGUACGGGGAAGCUGGCGACCGAAGCCCCGGUGAACGGCGGCCGUAACUAUAACGGUCCUAAGGUAGCGAAAUUUCUUGUCGGGUAGAACUUGCCCGAGUGUGCAUGUGAGUUCAACAAGCAAACCAACUCAUAUCGGUGAACCCUUCAUUCGAAUUAAUGAAUAUGGGAAUACCGAGGGAACUUUCAAAUCAACGAACACUUUUACUGAUUUGCUAGASUCCGUAACGACUGACUCGAAAGAGGAGGCCACCUGAAAAAUUUUYCUGAAAAACUCCCCCAAAAAGGGAACUCCGGGGAAAAGGGAGGCAACACGUUGGCACUUCCAAGUUCGAAAUUAAUCAUGGAGACAUAUGAGCUUGAAUCCUUUUUGGAUUACCGGAUUUGUUGAUGGAGAAGGUUGUUUUUCUGUAAGUUUUAGUAUACGAAACAAAUGGAUCGAAGUUCGACCCAGUUUUUCUAUCAGCCAAACUGGAAAACGAUUUUGCACAACAUUAGAAGCAAUUAAAGAAUUCUUUCAGUGUGGAAGUAUUCGAUAUUCUGCUGUGGAUGGAACUUACAAAUAUGAAGUUCGAUCUCUUGAAGACUUACGCAUUCGAAUUUUGCCACAUUUUCAAACCUAUCCUUUGGAGACACCAAAGAAAGAAGAUUGGCAACAACUGUGUCGAGUUUGUGAUUUGAUGAAGUGUAAUUUACAAAAAAACAAAGAAGGUCUUACAGAAAUUAUCGAGCUUGGCUAUUCAAUGAAUCCGUCCGGAAAGCGUAAAUAUAGCAAAGAUGAACUCUUAAAAUUAAUUGGAAGUUGAAGGUAUAGUCUGAUCAUUAUGGAAACAUAAUGCCUAACAAAUUUGAAGUUCCGACCCGCACGAAAGGCGUAACGAUCUGGGCACUGUCUCGGAGAGAGGCUCGGUGAAAUAGACUUGUCUGUGAAGAUGCGGACUACCUGCACCUGGACAGAAAGACCCUAUGAAGCUUUACUGUUCCCUGGGAUGGGGUUUGGGCCUUUCUUGCGCAGUCUAGGUGGGAGGCGAAGACGGCGUCCUUCCGGGGACGCUCGAGCCGAAGAUGAGAGACCACCCUAGAAAGGCUAGGAUUCUAACCUUAUGCCUAGAAGAAGGCUAGGGGACAGUCCCAGGUAGACAGUUUCUAUGGGGCGUAGGCCUCCCAAAGGGUAACGGAGGCGUGCAAAGGUUUCCUCAGGCUGGACGGAAAUCAGCCUUCGAGUGCAAAGGCAGAAGGGAGCUUGACUGCAAGACCCACCCNNCGAGCAGGGACGAAAGUCGGCCUUAGUGAUCCGACGGUUCCGAGUGGAAGGGCCGUCGCUCAACGGAUAAAAGUUACUCUAGGGAUAACAGGCUGAUCUUCCCCAAGAGUUCACA